UAUGCCUUCUUUCAUCACACAAAUUGGUUUAUAUGCUGAAAAAUCCAUACAAAAACCCUUCUUUUGUCUCCCAUUAGAGAUAGAAUUUGAUUCAUUUUAAAUUGAAUUCAAAAGGUUUGAAUUUAAACCUAAAAUCCUAUCCCUAUCCUUCUACACAUUAGCUCCUUGUGAAGGCACCUAUUAUGUGUGACCAAAAAGAAGUGUUCUUGAUUAUUUUUUAUGCCUAAAAUUCUUUGGUAGGUCCCUAUUUAAGUCAGAUAAGGG
Molecule: long non-coding RNA, 264 nt
Filed under: Elaeis guineensis (African oil palm)
Lineage: Eukaryota; Viridiplantae; Streptophyta; Magnoliopsida; Arecales; Arecaceae
Description: long non-coding RNA (EGUI_LNC049409)
Source: RNAcentral